This 542-nucleotide ribosomal RNA is filed under the name uncultured bacterium. RNAcentral's name for it is "bacterial SSU rRNA". It matches the Rfam family "Bacterial small subunit ribosomal RNA", at positions 777 to 1319 of the family's 1533-position model. The record is from RNAcentral.
AAUAGAUACCCAGGUAGUCCACGCCGUAAACGUUGGGCACUAGGUGUGGGGUCUAUUCAACGGACUCCGUGCCGUAGCUAACGCAUUAAGUGCCCCGCCUGGGGAGUACGGCCGCAAGGCUAAAACUCAAAGGAAUUGACGGGGGCCCGCACAAGCAGCGGAGCAUGUUGCUUAAUUCGAGGCAACGCGAAGAACCUUACCUGGGUUUGACAUGUAGAGAAAAGCCACAGAGAUGUGGUGUCCUUCGGGGUUCUACACAGGUGGUGCAUGGUUGUCGUCAGCUCGUGUCGUGAGAUGUUGGGUUAAGUCCCGCAACGAGCGCAACCCUUGUCCUAUGUUGCCAGCACGUCAUGGUGGGGACUCGUAGGAGACUGCCGGGGUCAACGUCGGAGGAAGAUGGGGACGACGUCAAAUCAUCAUGCCCCUUAUAUCCAAGGCUGCAAACAUGCUACAAUGGCCGGUACAAAGGGCUGCGAAACCGUGAGGUGAGCGAAUCCCGUAAAGCCGGUCUCAGUUCGGAUUGGAGUCUGCAACUCGACUCC